CGCUGGCGGCGUGCUUAACACAUGCAAGUCGAACGGGAUCCAUCAAGCUUGCUUGGUGGUGAGAGUGGCGAACGGGUGAGUAAUGCGUGACCGACCUGCCCCAUACACCGGAAUAGCUCCUGGAAACGGGUGGUAAUGCCGGAUGUUCCAGUUGAUCGCAUGGUCUUCUGGGAAAGCUUUCGCGGUAUGGGAUGGGGUCGCGUCCUAUCAGCUUGACGGCGGGGUAACGGCCCACCGUGGCUUCGACGGGUAGCCGGCCUGAGAGGGCGACCGGCCACAUUGGGACUGAGAUACGGCCCAGACUCCUACGGGAGGCAGCAGUGGGGAAUAUUGCACAAUGGGCGCAAGCCUGAUGCAGCGACGCCGCGUGAGGGAUGGAGGCCUUCGGGUUGUAAACCUCUUUUAUCGGGGAGCAAGCGUGAGUGAGUUUACCCGUUGAAUAAGCACCGGCUAACUACGUGCCAGCAGCCGCGG
Molecule: ribosomal RNA, 474 nt
Filed under: Bifidobacterium longum subsp. suis
Lineage: Bacteria; Bacillati; Actinomycetota; Actinomycetes; Bifidobacteriales; Bifidobacteriaceae
Description: bacterial SSU rRNA
Rfam family: Bacterial small subunit ribosomal RNA
Source: RNAcentral